Molecule: long non-coding RNA, 1284 nt
Organism: Astyanax mexicanus (Mexican tetra)
Lineage: Eukaryota; Metazoa; Chordata; Actinopteri; Characiformes; Acestrorhamphidae
Exons: 2
Source: RefSeq, a predicted model, not a curated record
UUUACAGCUUUGAUGAUUUAGGCAAAAUGUCAAUUUUGUGUAGCCGGUGGGCACUAGGACCUGGGAAGGUUGAGGGCUAAUGGGCAACCUGGCCCUUUUAGAAUAAAAAGACGGUGAAGAGGGGAGCUGCAGGUGAGCUCAUUAGUGGGAAGAGUAAGUUACUCGGCCUCCAUUACGUGCUUGGGCAGCAGCAGCAAGAGAAGGUAAUAUUUCUGAUUAGUGUUUUGUAGCAGCUUUACACUUAUCUGUGAUAUCUGGCUGAUCUUAUGAAGUGGUUGUGUUGUGUAGGUGCUGCUGGAUAGUGCAGUUUUUUUAAUGAUUUAGCUGCUGUUGGUGUGCGUGUGGGAGAGGAGUGGAGACAGAGCAGAGAACUGUUUUGGGCAGGUGCUGCUGUUGCACUCGACUCUCAUCAUACAUUGGAAAGAGUGUUCAUUGUCCAAGUUCACAAGAAGGCUGGGGUGCUCCUGAUUUUCCCUUUCCCUCCAUGUGCUUAGAGGAUAUCUCAAGACUGCAAGUGUCUGUAAUAUUUUAAAGUUGAUUGAGCUAAUAAAUAAAUAAAUAAAUAAAUGUUGAAUAAUUAUGUGUGUCUUGGCAGGACGUGUGCAUGGCUGAAAGUUGAGGAUAUUGGCCACUGUUUUCUAAUGUUUUUUUCCUGACUGUUUUCUAAUGUUUCUUUCUUGACUGUUUUCUUGACGGUUCUCUACUGUUUUGUUAAUGGUUCUCUACUGUUUUUGAUGGUCCAUUUAUUGUUUUUUUGGAUAGUUUCUGUAUUGCUUUCUUAUUAAUUUCUUUACUGAUUGCUUUAGUUUUCUGCAGUUUCUUUGUUUUGUUAAUUUUUUUGGUACUUUAUUUUUUUCAUUGUUUUCUGGCUAUGAUUUAUUUGCAUAAUUUAUUGUAGUAGUUAAGUUUUGUUUAAUUUUGUAAUUCUUUGUUUUUUUUGGAUUAUAUUUAAUUAGUUUAUUUUCUUUUUCCAAUUAAUACUUUGCCACACUUGUGAGUUUCUUUUCAUCUAGUGUGUUUUGUUGAACAUUAUUUUUGAAGUUACCAAAGAAAGAAUCCAAGCUAGUCCUCCCCAUUAUGGUUUGUUUGGUGUGGUGUGCAGUGUAGUGUUGUUAAGCUGUGGGGUUUGUGGAUCCUUUAUUUUUGGUUUGCUUUAUUCCAUCCAAAACUGGUGUUCUAAAGCCCAAGAAUUGUCAGUGUCAACCAAUUCAGUGGAGAUUCAUUGUGUUUUUUUUAUAUGUUUGUGUUUUGAUGAUUGUGAAUAAAAGUAUUUUUGAUAUCAAA